GUAUGGUUUGUUACCAGUGACAUGAUACAUUAUUGUUUUGUUUUUUGGAAUGUUACAGUAUAUCGAUUGCCGUGUGAAGGAGACUAGAGACGUACGAACGAAUAAGAAGAGUUGGCCCAACUUUAACCUAAACAAUAAUUAUCCCGCUGCUAUUUUCUAUUUUAUGACUUGAGUUUCUUAUUAUGUAAUCAUCCAUUUCAUAUGGUAAUAAGUAAUAACGAUAAAGGAGCUCUCUCUCUCUUUAUCGGCGCUUUGAUGUAUGUACGCCUAACAUACCAUCAGGAAUAACACUUUGUCUUUCUCUUACAUGUAAUAUAUAUGAUCAAGAGGUUGCAUGAACUAAUGAGCUUUUACCUAACCGCAUAUAUAUAAAGUUAUAGCAUCCAUGAAAAAGGUUUGGCAUAUAAACAUGUUUUGCAAGGUCAAUACAAAGGAUAUCGUUUUAGUCUUCUAAGAAUGUAAAUUUCAUUACUAUUGUAUUGUAUGUUUGAUACAAGAGAACCUGAAUCCAAAGGAUAUCAGACAAAAUGGGUAUUCGAUAUCAGACCACCGGUUCUACAUGUAUGUCAAAUAUUUGUUGUGAGUGUACGUUGUUUGGAUUAAUUUAUAUAUAUAUACUAGUGGUAUUCCGGCGCUACGCGCCGGGUUCAUAUUUUUUUAUUCUUUAAUGAAUUCAAUCAUUUGCUUAUAGAAAUAACAGUUUUUGCAUAUCUUCUUGAUGUUUAGUAAUUAAGUUUGGGGGAUCAACUUGGGGUUCCGUUUGCCAAACUAAAUUAUCAAUACGUUUGUGCUGUUUAUUAAUUUAACAAUUUUAUUUGUUUUGUUUGGUUAUUUGUAGGUUUUAUUUAAAAAUUAAGCUACUGUUUUAUGCAUUUGUAUUUAGCUGGAUUUUUCUAUGUUAUGUGCAUGUGAUACUAAGAAUGUUGCACUCAGACAGUUUGUACCGGCUACUUAUGUAUUAUAGCUACUAUAUGUGGCUUCGUAUGUCAUUUGGGGGUCUUAGUUAUGGCUUAGCUUAGGUUGGGUUUUUUUUGACAGACACAAUGAAAAAAGAGUUGUCCAAAAAAAAACACAAUGAAAAAAUUUGCGAUAGUAGUUAAAGUGAAAACAGAAGCAAAAGCUCAAGUAAAAAAAAACAGAAAAAUUUCUAGGGAAAACUGAAACAAUAGCAAUGUACCAACAAUCCCAAAGAAAAGUAAAAAUUUAUAAAUAUUAAUUAGAAUCUAUAUAUUCGAUUUGAAAAUGAGUAAAAUUUAAUUAGACUUGUAAAUAUAUAUAAGAUUUGCAAAUCAAUUAAAUUGCAUAAAUGAUUGACACCCUUAAACUUUUGAUAAAAAUAAAGUAAAAAUCAAAACUGAGCAGCAAACCAACAUAUGCUGAGUCGCUCAAAUAAGAUAAUUCUUAUAUAUAUAUAUAUAUAUAUAUAUAUAUAUACUGUUGUGAUUGAAAUUUUCAUGCGUGAUUUCAUAAAUUUUAAAUAUGUAUAAAUUUAAAAUUUAAAAUAAAAAUAUGUAAAGUAGUAUUGUUACAUAAUAAUGUUUUCAAAAUAAUUGUUUGUACAAAAAUACAAAUUUAUAGUAAUAAUAUAUAAGCCACAUAAACAUAGCUAUUAUAAAAAUACAUAAUAUAAAACACUUAAUUGCAUUAAGUUAUUUGUAAAUUUUGUUAUACUCCCUCUGUAUACAAAUAUAGAUGUUUUAGUUUUUUUUCUUUGUAUACAAAUGUAUGAUGUUUUACUUUUAACUAAUGAAAUUUUCUUUAAAAAUAAAAUAUUAAUCAAAAUGUAAAAAUUUAAGUGGUUGAAUUUUUAUUGGAAAUCAAAUAAAACUUUAAACUAACUAAAAUAAAAACCAAAAAGUAAUAGAUAAAAAUAAAUAUUUAAUUUCUCUUAAUAUGUGUUAACAACCUUACACAUCCUAUAUUUGUAUCAAGAGGGAGUAUAAACUAAAAUAUUUAAGUAUAGAAAUAAAAAACCGCACUAAUUCCGUAGCUUUUAUUUAAGGAAAUAAAAAAAUAUUAUUUUGUAAACUAUUAAUUAAUUUGAUAGUUAUUUUAGUUAAAAACAUAGUAUAUAUUUAUAUGGACCAACUUAUUUUUUUAAGAAUUCUAAGAAUCACGCUCUUGAUGACACGUGGCUACGAAUAUGUUGUAAUGCUCAAUGAUUUAUAUAUAGGGGAUUUUUCCCAUAAGCAAUUUUACUUAGGUUUGACCAUUUUGUCAACAACUUAUUAUAACACAUUAACUUUAGUUUCUGGAAAUAUUUACAUUCUUAGGAAAAAAACUCAAGUAACCGAAGAUCGGGGAAGCAUUGCAUUAACAUGGGAAUAUGUGUAUUUUUGAUGUUUAAUUCAUAGUAAAUCCCGUUAUUCAUCAAAUUUGCAUGCAUGCGAAGCUAAGCAUAAUUUACGGGUACACAUGACAUUGAUGGAGCUUUCCCAAUUAUAAAAACCGCACCGACGACCUCAACAAAGUAAAACAAUCAAUUAAACACAAUUAAAAAAAAAAUGACGUUUGCUUCAAAGAUCAUCACAUGCCUCCUCGUCCUUACGAUCUACAUUGCAGCUCCAACAGAGUCACACAUAACGUGUGGGACAGUGACAAGCACAAUGACACAAUGCAUCAGCUACUUGACCAACGGUGGUCCAUUGCCGUCAAGCUGCUGUGUGGCAGUCAAAUCAUUGAACCAAAUGGCUCAGACCACACCAGAUCGCCGACAAGUAUGUGAGUGCCUUAAAUCAGCCGGUAAGGAAAUUAAAGGCCUCAAUAUCGACCUUGUGGCCGCACUCCCUACCACUUGUGGUGUUUCACUUUCCUACCCCAUUGGUUUCAACACCAAUUGUGACAGGUACUUGUCCAUAUAUAACUUUGUUUUUGGUUUUAUAUUAGAUCGUUUUGCUUCUUUCUAGAUUAUCGAUAUAAUUUUCACAGCUGUUUCCACAGUAUAUCUUGAAAGCUAGUUCUCGAUCUACUUGACUCCAAAAUAUAUAAAAGAAAAUGGAUUUGGACUAAUUAAACUACCAGAUAAACACAUAGUUCACUAUAGUCGAUAGUAUAUUGUUGUAUGGUUUGUUACCAGUGACAUGAUACAUUAUUGUUUUGUUUUUUGGAAUGUUACAGUAUAUCGAUUGCCGUGUGAAGGAGACUAGAGACGUACGAACGAAUAAGAAGAGUUGGCCCAACUUUAACCUAAACAAUAAUUAUCCCGCUGCUAUUUUCUAUUUUAUGACUUGAGUUUCUUAUUAUGUAAUCAUCCAUUUCAUAUGGUAAUAAGUAAUAACGAUAAAGGAGCUCUCUCUCUCUUUAUCGGCGCUUUGAUGUAUGUACGCCUAACAUACCAUCAGGAAUAACACUUUGUCUUUCUCUUACAUGUAAUAUAUAUGAUCAAGAGGUUGCAUGAACUAAUGAGCUUUUACCUAACCGCAUAUAUAUAAAGUUAUAGCAUCCAUGAAAAAGGUUUGGCAUAUAAACAUGUUUUGCAAGGUCAAUACAAAGGAUAUCGUUUUAGUCUUCUAAGAAUGUAAAUUUCAUUACUAUUGUAUUGUAUGUUUGAUACAAGAGAACCUGAAUCCAAAGGAUAUCAGACAAAAUGGGUAUUCGAUAUCAGACCACCGGUUCUACAUGUAUGUCAAAUAUUUGUUGUGAGUGUACGUUGUUUGGAUUAAUUUAUAUAUAUAUACUAGUGGUAUUCCGGCGCUACGCGCCGGGUUCAUAUUUUUUUAUUCUUUAAUGAAUUCAAUCAUUUGCUUAUAGAAAUAACAGUUUUUGCAUAUCUUCUUGAUGUUUAGUAAUUAAGUUUGGGGGAUCAACUUGGGGUUCCGUUUGCCAAACUAAAUUAUCAAUACGUUUGUGCUGU
Molecule: long non-coding RNA, 3853 nt
Filed under: Brassica napus (rape)
Lineage: Eukaryota; Viridiplantae; Streptophyta; Magnoliopsida; Brassicales; Brassicaceae
Description: long non-coding RNA (BNAP_LNC000429)
Source: RNAcentral